Schistocerca americana (American grasshopper) is the source of this 234-nucleotide long non-coding RNA. RefSeq lists it as uncharacterized. NCBI's taxonomy places the organism in Eukaryota, Metazoa, Arthropoda, Insecta, Orthoptera, Acrididae. The record is from RefSeq and is a predicted model, not a curated record. The transcript has 3 exons.
UUUUGUACAUUUUAAUACAUGGCUGUAAGUGGUUGUACAUCACUAGUGCACCACUUUUGCUGUUAAUCAAGGCCUGUGAACAAAUAGUACAGUAACUUGAAGAAUGAGCAUGUAAUGCGAUGCAGAUUCAUGUUACACUCCAGGACUGCCAUGUGAGAGAGUCUGCUAUACCUGGCCAAUGAGAUGAAGUUGUACCACUUCCAUCAGUCCAGACAUUUGUCAAAGAAGUGCAGU